UCCUACGGGAGGCAGCAGUGGGGAAUUUUGGACAAUGGGCGAAAGCGUGAUCCAGCAAUGCCGCGUGUGUUAAGAAGCCUUCGGUUGUAAAGCACUUUGUCCGGAAAGAAAUCCGUCUGGCUAAUGCCCGGAUGGGAUGACGGUACCGUAAGAAUAAGCACCGGCUAACUACGUGCCAGCAGCCGCGUUAAUACGUAGGGUGCGAGCGUUAAUCGGAAUUACUGGGCGUAAAGCGUGCGCAGGCGGUUAUGCAAGACAGGUGAAAUUCCCGGGCUCACCUGGAACUGCAUUGUGACUGCAGCUAGAGUGCGUCAGAGGGAGGUGAUUCCGCGUGUAGCAGUGAAAUGCGUAGAGAUGCGGGGACACCGAUGCGAAGGCAGCCUCCUGGGAUGACACUGACGCUCAUGCACGAAAGCGUGGGAGCAAACAGGAUUAGAUACCCUGGUAGUCCACGCCCUAAACGAUGUCAACUAGUUGUCGGGGAUUCAUUUCCUUGGUAACGCAGCUAACGCGUGAAGUUGACCGCCUGGGGAGUACGGCCGCAAGGUUAAAACUCAAAGGAAUUGACGGGGACCCGCACAAGCGGUGGAUGAU
Molecule: ribosomal RNA, 594 nt
Filed under: uncultured bacterium
Lineage: Bacteria
Description: bacterial SSU rRNA
Rfam family: Bacterial small subunit ribosomal RNA
Source: RNAcentral